CCUAAUUUUCGUGUCUAAUAUUUAAUCGUCCGUCUUAUUUAAAUAAAAUAUAAAAAAAAUUAAAAAGACAAGUCACGUACAAAGUAUUAAUCAUGUUUUAUCAUCUAACAAUAAUAAAAAUACAAAUUAUAAAAAAAUUUCAUAUAAGACGGAUAGUUAAAGUUGGACACGGAAACUCAGGGUUUGUCUUUUU
This 193-nucleotide microRNA precursor is filed under the name Oryza sativa Indica Group (long-grained rice). RNAcentral describes it as "MIR812 microRNA precursor family". It matches the Rfam family "MIR812 microRNA precursor family". Lineage: Eukaryota; Viridiplantae; Streptophyta; Magnoliopsida; Poales; Poaceae. The record is from Rfam by way of RNAcentral.